Molecule: unclassified non-coding RNA, 18 nt
Filed under: Chlamydomonas reinhardtii
Lineage: Eukaryota; Viridiplantae; Chlorophyta; Chlorophyceae; Chlamydomonadales; Chlamydomonadaceae
Description: small RNA Cre_3586
Source: RNAcentral
UGUGCGGCCGACACUUGC